GUGCAGCAGUCGAGAAACCUCCGCAAUGCGGGAAACCGCGACGGGGGACCCCGAGUGCCGUGGCAACGCCACGGCUUUUCCGGAGUGUAAAAAGCUCCGGGAAUAAGGGCUGGGCAAGGCCGGUGGCAGCCGCCGCGGUAAUACCGGCGGCCCGAGUGGUGGCCGCUAUUAUUGGGCCUAAAGCGUCCGUAGCCGGGCCCGUAAGUCCCUGGCGAAAUCCCACGGCUCAACCGUGGGGCUUGCUGGGGAUACUGCGGGUCUUGGGACCGGGAGAGGCGGGGGGUACCCCUGGGGUAGGGGUGAAAUCCUAUAAUCCCAGGGGGACCGCCAGUGGCGAAGGCGCCCCGCUGGAACGGGUCCGACGGUGAGGGACGAAGGCCAGGGGAGCAAACCGGAUUAGAUACCCCGGUAGU
Molecule: ribosomal RNA, 413 nt
Filed under: uncultured microorganism
Description: bacterial SSU rRNA
Rfam family: Archaeal small subunit ribosomal RNA
Source: RNAcentral